This 243-nucleotide ribosomal RNA is filed under the name uncultured bacterium. RNAcentral describes it as "partial small subunit ribosomal RNA". It matches the Rfam family "Bacterial small subunit ribosomal RNA", at positions 26 to 285 of the family's 1533-position model. The record is from RNAcentral.
AGAAUCAACGCUGGCGGCGUGCCUAACACAUGCAAGUCGCACGAGAAAGUGGAGCAAUCCAUGAGUAAAGUGGCGCACGGGUGAGUAACACGUGAAUUAUCUACCUCCGAGUGGGAAUAACUGAGAGAAAUCUUAGCUAAUACCGCAUAACACUUACGAGUCAAAGCAGCAAUGCGCUUGGAGAGGAGUUCGCGGCCGAUUAGUUAGUUGGCGGGUAAUGGCCCACCAAGACGAUGAUCGGUA